GUAGCCAGUGUGGUCAGCAGCCACGGCAGGGCCUGUGGACAUGGCCCUCAUCACGGUGCAGGGAGCCCCAGCCCCACGCCCUGCCCUCCCUCCUUCCCAGAUGUGGCUACCCCACUGUGGAAGCCACUCGCGAUGGGCUUCUUUCUCCAACGCCCCAACUCCUUCUCUCCAAGGGAAGAGCCCUGGGGUGGAGAAUCCCUGAGUUCAAUCCUUCUUCUGCCACGUGAGUGCUCAGUUACUCUGGCAGAGAUGCCAGCCAGCCCCCUGGAACGGGCGUGUUCUACCGAGAUCUGCAGCCAGGAUGAGCAAAGCCUGACAGAGGGUCUGUAUGUGAGGCCACGGCCACGUUACGCCACAUCUGCACCCCAAAGGGGCGGCACCACACACGGAACACAAUCCGCUGACAGGAAUACAGCGCCCCCAGCUGGGGCCCCAGGAAAGAGCAGCAGGCGAUGCCUCGCUGACCCAGCAUCACGAAGGUGAGGGAGACAGCACUCCGGGUGGGAACUGGUGUGCUGUCUAUUCUCAGCCCCACUGUCGGCUGUGGGGUCGGGGGCUCCACCCUGCCUCUCACCUGGUAUGAUGGUGGUUGGUAAGUCUACACAAUGAAAAGGCACGUAAAGUAUGCUACAUGCCCAGUAUACAGGAAGCACUCAAGAUAUGGAGUAACCGGUAUGUCGUGUAUCUGAAAAUU
This is a long non-coding RNA of Rhinolophus ferrumequinum (greater horseshoe bat), 694 nucleotides long. RefSeq lists it as uncharacterized. The record is from RefSeq and is a predicted model, not a curated record. The transcript is spliced from 3 exons. Lineage: Eukaryota; Metazoa; Chordata; Mammalia; Chiroptera; Rhinolophidae.